AAAGAGGGACUGUUACAGUGAAGAAAUCACUUGUAAGUAGGGAAUGUACUAUUUAAAAUACAUGCAUCUCUUUGGCAAGUGGUCAGGAAUGGUGGCUACUUAAAUGAGUUAAAAUG
Molecule: non-coding RNA, 116 nt
Organism: Tinamus guttatus (white-throated tinamou)
Lineage: Eukaryota; Metazoa; Chordata; Aves; Tinamiformes; Tinamidae
Source: RefSeq, a predicted model, not a curated record